Long non-coding RNA from Alosa sapidissima (American shad), 110 nucleotides. RefSeq lists it as uncharacterized. The transcript has 3 exons. NCBI's taxonomy places the organism in Eukaryota, Metazoa, Chordata, Actinopteri, Clupeiformes, Clupeidae. The record is from RefSeq and is a predicted model, not a curated record.
GAUGCCCCCCCCCUUCCCCACCACCCCACAUCCGGUAACAUGAAAACAACUUUUUAGUAUCACUUCUCAACCGUUGCACGAUAGAUCACAAAAUGUCCGUGUUAAAUUGG